GAUGAACGCUAGCGGCAGGCCUAAUACAUGCAAGUCGAACGGUGUAGCAAUACACAGUGGCGCACGGGUGCGUAACGCGUAUACAACCUACCUUCAAGAGGGGGAUAACCCGGAGAAAUUCGGGAUAAUACCGCAUAAUAUGUUAGAGACGCAUGUUGAAGACAUUAAAGAUUUAUUGCUUGAAGAUGGGUAUGCGUCUGAUUAGUUAGUUGGUAGGGUAACGGCCUACCAAGACGAUGAUCAGUAGGGGUUCUGAGAGGAAGGUCCCCCACACUGGCACUGAGAUACGGGCCAGACUCCUACGGGAGGCAGCAGUAGGGAAUAUUGGGCAAUGGUCGGAAGACUGACCCAGCCAUGCCGCGUGAAGGAAGAAGGGUCUACGACUUGUAAACUUCUUUAGCCAGGGAAGAAAAAGGGAGUGCGCUCCCAAUUGACGGUACCUGGAGAAUAAGCACCGGCUAACUACGUG
Molecule: ribosomal RNA, 469 nt
Filed under: uncultured bacterium
Lineage: Bacteria
Description: bacterial SSU rRNA
Rfam family: Bacterial small subunit ribosomal RNA
Source: RNAcentral